AACGAACGCUGGCGGCAUGCCUAACACAUGCAAGUCGAACGAGACCUCCGGGUCUAGUGGCGCUCGUGUGCGUAACGCGGGGGAAGUUGCACUUAGGUUCGGAACAACUCCCCGAAAGGGAUCCUAAUACCGGAUAAUGUCAUCGGAGCUAAGAUCUAUCGCCUUUGGAUGGGCCCGGGAUAGUUUCGUUGGUUGGGAGGGUAAUAGCCUACCAAUGCGACGUUACAUAGCUUGUCAGGGAGGAUGGUCAGACACAGUGGGACUGAGACACGGCCCAGACUCCUACGGGAGGCAGCAGUGGGGAAUAUUGGACAGUGGGCGAAAGCCUGAUCCAGCAAGGGCGCGUGAGUGAUGAAGGCCUUAGGGUUGUAAAGCUCGUUUGCCCGGGAUGAUAAUGACAGUACCUGGAGAAUGAGCCACGGCUAACUCCGUG
Molecule: ribosomal RNA, 433 nt
Filed under: uncultured bacterium
Lineage: Bacteria
Description: partial 16S ribosomal RNA
Rfam family: Bacterial small subunit ribosomal RNA
Source: RNAcentral